AUGCCAGCUCUCUGUCCACCCCUCUCCGUCGUCUUGGCCGAGCAGGAACUGGGAGCUGGGGUGCCUCUGACUCGGGCAGCCCUGGCCCCUUGGGACCAUCAGCUGUGCCUGGUCUGUCAAACGGGGUCACACUGGGACUCAGGGCCCGAGACAGAAAGCAGUGGGCUGGGCAACAGCAGUGCCCUUGGCCUCCACUCCUGCUGGUCUGCAAUGCCAGCUGAUUCUGUCCUCUCGGGCUGCACAGCCCAUGUGUGCCCUGUACUUGUGUCUGCCCAUGCAGGGUGGGCCAUGCCCGGGGUGGUGGCAGGGAGGUGGUACAGUGUCUCUGGGGAGAGGCAGACCCACCCAGAUCCCAUGGGGAGGGCAGACAAGGGCAUCCUCCUCUCAACAUCCCAAAGGGAAGGGCCGUCCGCUGCUAGUGGAGAGGACGACACGCCUGGACCGUGGAGCACAUGUCAACGGUGGGAACGGUGCGAGCUUUCCCAUGAGUCACCACUCGAGUGGGUAGCCUGGGUGGGGAGCCAGGGGAGGGCAAAGGAAAACAGAUCAGCAGCUCCUUUGUGCCGAGCUACCUCUUCCCCAGGGGUGCCUCUCAGCGGGCAAGGGGCUGGGCCACAGACCUCCCGAGGAAGGAGGGGCCUGGCGCGAGGGUGCCUGGCUGCAGCCCGCCAGGGGGCCCCCGCUCCCCCGCUGUGCCCCCCAAGUAGCAGAGCCGAGGCAGGUGCUCCUCCCCAGCCUGCCCCCUCCCACAAAGACAGCCUCCUGGAGCCUCUGAGGUCUGUGUGGGCAGAGCUGUGGACCAGGCCCCCAUCCCCCACUUGGCUGAACCCCAGCAGGCCAGGUGCCAGGCCAAGUGCCGGGUCUUCCAGAAAAACCCGCUCCUCUCCCAGCUCUGCCUGCAGGCCGCCUUGCUGGGAGGCCAAGAGCCAAGCAGGAUCUCGGCAGCCCACCACCAAGCAGCGAGCACAACCCAGAGUACAGGCGCUGUGCACUCCCACCAGACGCCUCCUCCAGGAAGUCUCCCGGAUGACACGGGCUGGGUCGGGUGCUCUGCUCGCCCGUCUCAGCGUGCUUGGUGGGAGUGAAACUCACGUGUGUGCCUCUGUCUCUGUGGGCCACGAGAACCUGAGGGUCCGGCUCUCCUUGCAGCCCCGGCUCCUGCCUGGCCAGGUGCUUGGGGAAUAUUUGCUGAAUGCGUGA
This 1200-nucleotide long non-coding RNA is filed under the name Bos indicus x Bos taurus (hybrid cattle). RNAcentral's name for it is "lncRNA (ENSBIXG00000010234.1)". The record is from RNAcentral. Lineage: Eukaryota; Metazoa; Chordata; Mammalia; Artiodactyla; Bovidae.